RNAcentral lists this transfer RNA (71 nucleotides) under Cordylochernes scorpioides. RNAcentral's name for it is "tRNA-Gly". It matches the Rfam family "tRNA". Rfam says of the family: Transfer RNA (tRNA) molecules are approximately 80 nucleotides in length. Their secondary structure includes four short double-helical elements and three loops (D, anti-codon, and T loops). Lineage: Eukaryota; Metazoa; Arthropoda; Arachnida; Pseudoscorpiones; Chernetidae. The record is from RNAcentral.
GCAUCGGUGGCUUAGUGGUAGAAUGCUCGCCUGCCACGCGGGUGGCCCGGGUUCGAUUCCCGGCCGAUGCA